Calliphora vicina (urban bluebottle blowfly) is the source of this 472-nucleotide long non-coding RNA. RefSeq lists it as uncharacterized. The transcript is spliced from 3 exons. Lineage: Eukaryota; Metazoa; Arthropoda; Insecta; Diptera; Calliphoridae. The record is from RefSeq and is a predicted model, not a curated record.
GAAUUCUAUCGAACUUGCAAAAGGGGACGUAUUUAUGCUAAAGUAUGUAAUAUAAAAUCACAAAUGAAGAUUGCUUUAUCUGAGUCCACAACACCCACAUCGUCGUCAAGUUAUGAGGAGUCUCAAUUUGUGCCUGAAGAAGAUUACGAAACAAUAAGAAAUUCUUUGACAGAUGACAAGCUAAAUGAAGACGAAUAUAUGGACUAUUGGAAAAAAUGUAGCCAGUAUCGAUUUUCACAAAUAGAUAAAUGCAAAACUGCUGCAAAUAUUUUCAAAAUUUGGCCAGAGUACACAAACGCAAAUGGGAUUCGUAUGUUUGACAUUGAUUUUUCUAUCAAAUAUCCAAACUCUGGAAAUAUUCAUGAAAUCUGGGCAUUAAAAUCGAACAAUAUUGAGACUUUAUUAAAAGAGAAAAUUUCAGGAAAAAGCACAAAUGGAUUUAAUUUAAAUUCUAUAAAUGAGGAGACUAGAG